This 408-nucleotide ribosomal RNA is filed under the name Triticum aestivum (bread wheat). RNAcentral's name for it is "partial small subunit ribosomal RNA". The record is from RNAcentral. Lineage: Eukaryota; Viridiplantae; Streptophyta; Magnoliopsida; Poales; Poaceae.
AUGCCAUUAAAGUUUUGGGACGAAGCGUUUCUUACUGCUGUUCACAUUAUCAACAGGCUUCCUAGUCGUGUCAUAAAUAAUGAAACUCCAGUAGAACGCCUUCUUCAUGUCAAACCCGACUAUUCCACUCUUCAUGUGUUUGGGUGUGCGUGUUGGCCUAACCUACGCCCAUACAACAAACGCAAGCUCAUGUUUCGAUCAAUCCAAUGUGCUUUCCUUAGAUACAGCGCCCAACACAAAGGUGUAAAGUGCCUUGACAUCUCCACUGGUCGAGUCUAUAUAUCACGCGACGUGGUUUUUGAUGAGACCAAAUUCCCUUUUUCUGAUCUUCAUCCAAACGCUGGUGCUCUACUUCAAAAAGAAAUUCUUUUGCUUCCUCCAAGUCUUUCUGGUUAUGGGGGGUGUUGA